GCGAAGGAUCAUUAUAGAUUCUUUUGGCUGUGCGCCGCGAGGCCGCACGCCGAAAUCCAAUCACACACACCCGUGCACUUCGGUCGUGGUAAAACGCGGCCGCCUUCACAUUUAACAAGUAAAACCCGAAUGUAACAAACCAUAAAAUAAUACAACUUUUAACAACGGAUCUCUUGGCUCUCGCAUCGAUGAAGAACGCAGCGAAAUGCGAUACGUAAUGCGAAUUGCAGAAUUCCAGUGAGUCAUCGAAUCUUUGAACGCACAUUGCGCCCUUUGGUAUUCCGAAGGGCUGCCUGUUCGAGCGUCAUUAUCACCCCUCAAGCCCCCCGGGCUUGGUGUUGGACGGUUUGGUGAAGGCCUCCCGGGCGAUCACCCCCUCCUAAAGACAAUGACGGCGGCCUGUUGGAACCCCCCGGUACAUUGAGCUUCUUAACUGAGCACGUAUCGGAUCAAGGGAACCCAGGCCCCGGUCUUCUCCCUUCAUUGGGAAAAUUUAUCAAGGUUGACCUCGGAUCAGGUAGGAAUACCCGCUGAACUUAAGCAUAUCAAUAAGCGGAGGAAAAGAAACCAACAGGGAUUGCCUCAGUAACGGCGAGUGAAGCGGCAACAGCUCAAUUUGAAAUCUGGGCCUCUNCGGGUCCGAGUUGUAAUUUGUAGAGGAUGUU
RNAcentral lists this ribosomal RNA (665 nucleotides) under uncultured fungus. Its description in RNAcentral is "eukaryotic LSU rRNA". The stretch from base 154 to 307 matches the Rfam family "5.8S ribosomal RNA". The record is from RNAcentral. Lineage: Eukaryota; Fungi.